Non-coding RNA from Phascolarctos cinereus (koala), 684 nucleotides. NCBI's taxonomy places the organism in Eukaryota, Metazoa, Chordata, Mammalia, Diprotodontia, Phascolarctidae. The record is from RefSeq and is a predicted model, not a curated record.
CUGUGUCUCCAGAAAUGCAGGAAGUAGUGAAAAAGGGCAAAUGAGGAGCUGAGUGUCCAGGGCAGCCCAACAGCCCAAGAGGCUUCAGACCUAUAAGUACACACAGACAAAAAAAAAAUGCAUUUCAAUAUACAUGGGACAACAAAAUAUUACUUUCUAUGGGAAUCUGUGCUUGUAGAGGACCCAAGAAUAUGCUUGUUGCAAGCCAGGGAACAUUAGAAAUGACACAACUUCAACUCCAUUAAGACUUGGCACUCCCAUAGCAAAGAACUGGAAACAAAGAAGAUGCUGUUAAACUGGGGAAUGGCUAAACAAAUUGUGAUAAGGGAAUGGAAUGGAAUAUUAUUGCUCCAUGAGAAAGGACUAAUAAGAAGACAACAGGAAAGCAUGGGAAAGUACAUGAACUAAGGCAAUGUGAAGUAACCAGAAUUUAGAAGAAAAUAUACACAGCAACUGAAAAAAUGGAAAGCACACACAAAAAAAUAGAAAACGAACAUUAUGUAAUUAUAAUAAACAAGCUGGUCCUCAAAGAAAAAAGAGGAAAAUGCACUUGUGGAUAUGGAUGGGGACACUUGGUUGACAGGUUGGUUAGUUAUAUGAAACUACUCCCAUCCCCCACACAUACCCUUUUUCUUUUUUCUUCUGUGUUAUAAGGGAUGGCUCCCUAAAUAAAGGUGUAAAAAC